GUCUCGGUGGCCAAGUUGGUUUAAGGCGCCAGACUGUAAUAAUCUGGAUAUCGGGUGUUCGAAUCACCCCCGGGAGA
Molecule: transfer RNA, 77 nt
Filed under: Zygosaccharomyces rouxii
Lineage: Eukaryota; Fungi; Ascomycota; Saccharomycetes; Saccharomycetales; Saccharomycetaceae
Description: tRNA-Tyr
Rfam family: tRNA
About the family: Transfer RNA (tRNA) molecules are approximately 80 nucleotides in length.
Source: RNAcentral